Long non-coding RNA from Talpa occidentalis (Iberian mole), 500 nucleotides. RefSeq lists it as uncharacterized. The record is from RefSeq and is a predicted model, not a curated record. The transcript is spliced from 3 exons. Lineage: Eukaryota; Metazoa; Chordata; Mammalia; Eulipotyphla; Talpidae.
CGAGACCCGCCCCUCAGGCCGCGGGCGCCACUCCGGGAAAGCGCUGCAGGCCCGUUACCUUACACCUCAGCCUACAGGGCCUUUCAGACGCGGUGUUACCUGCGGCGGUGCAGGAACGGCUGUUCUCUCAGGAAACGUCUCUUCCCGCGGCAAAUCGUUUUCCUGAUGAGAAUCUAGAAACUGAGGUGCGCACGCGGCCGAUGACAGCAGGAGUCAGCCACCCAACGGAGCUCCACAUGGGAGAUCUGCAUUUACAGGCAUCUGGCUGAGGCCUGAACCUGUGUCAACUGUGAGUCAUUGAGGAGGCCCUGCGUACAGAUUUCUUCUAGACACUUAAACUCCAGUGCUUGUACCUUGAAAGGUCCAAAGGAAUAACCCUGAAAAUGUGUCAAAUUACGAAUGAAAAGUAAAAUUAUUUCUCAGGCUUGACAGAAUAGCUUGAGAACUGAAAGCACAAAAGAACUGGAAGAAUAACUCAACUUCUUAAUCUACCCUCAAUA